UACGUAGGUGGCGAGCGUUGUCCGGAUUUAUUGGGCGUAAAGCGCGUGCAGGUGGUUGGUUAAGUCCGAUGUAAAAUCUCCCGGCUCACCUGGGAGGGCGCGUUGGAGACUGGCCGACUGGAGGCAGGUAGAGGCCGGUGGAAUUCCCGGUGUAGUGGUGAAAUGCGUAGAUAUCGGGAGGAAUACCUAUGGCGAAAGCAGGCUACUGGACCAUCACUGACGCUGAUCUGCGAAAGCUAGGGGAGCAAACAGG
RNAcentral lists this ribosomal RNA (253 nucleotides) under uncultured bacterium. Its description in RNAcentral is "partial 16S ribosomal RNA". It matches the Rfam family "Bacterial small subunit ribosomal RNA", at positions 524 to 776 of the family's 1533-position model. The record is from RNAcentral.